GUAUCCGAUUGAUGGCUUAGUGAGGCUUCAGGAUUGGCUUAAGCAGGAGGCAACUCCAGCUUGGAGCCGAGAAUCUAGUCAAACUUGGUCAUUUAGAGGAAGUAAAAGUCGUAACAAGGUUUCCGUAGGUGAACCUGCGGAAGGAUCAUUAAAGUAUUCUUCGGUGCAGCCAGCGCUUCCACAGCGCGGCAGCCCAAACCUUACACACUGUGAUUAGUUUUUUUACUAUUUACUUUGGCUGCGCAAGUGGCCAAAGGUCUUAAACACAAAGAUUUAUAUCUUUUUUUACAAAAUUUAGUCAAUGAAGUUUUAAUACUAUAAUCUUCAAAACUUUCAACAACGGAUCUCUUGGUUCUCGCAACGAUGAAGAACGCAGCGAAAUGCGAUACGUAAUGUGAAUUGCAGGUUUUCGUGAAUCAUCGAAUCUUUGAACGCACAUUGCACCCUCUGGUAUUCCGGAGGGUAUGCCUGUUUGAGCGUCAUUUCUCUCUCAAACCUUAGGGUUUGGUAUUGAGUGAUACUCUCUUCUGGGUUAACUUGAAAUAGUGUACUGGCAAGAGUGUGCUUUUGUGGCCUCUUGACUGAGAUAAUGUAUUAGGUUCUACCAACUCGUUAUAGCAGUUCAACUGUCCCUUUGGCAUAUCAGCUCGGCCUGACAACUCCUUCUAAAGUUGACCUCAAUCAGGUAGACAUUAGGUUCUACCAACUCGUUAUAGCAGUUCAACUGUCCCUUUGGCAUAUCAGCUCGGCCUGACAACUCCUUCUAAAGUUUGACCUCAAAUCAGGUAGGACUACCCGCUGAACUUAAGCAUAUCAAUAAGCGGAGGAAAAGAAACCAACAGGGAUUGCCUCAGUAACGGCGAGUGAAGCGGCAAAAGCUCAAAUUUGAAAUCCGGUACCUUUGGUGCCCGAGUUGUAAUUUGAAGAUAGUUUUCUGGUGCUGGCCCUUGUCUAUGUUCCUUGGAACAGGACGUCACAGAGGGUGAGAAUCCCGUCUGGCGGGGUGUCCAGUGCUUUGUAGAUUUCUAUCGACGAGUCGAGUUGUUUGGGAAUGCAGCUCUAAGUGGGUGGUAAAUUCCAUCUAAAGCUAAAUAUUGGCGAGAGACCGAUAGCGAACAAGUACAGUGAUGGAAAGAUGAAAAGAACUUUGAAAAGAGAGUGAAAAAGUACGUGAAAUUGUUGAAAGGGAAGGGUAUUAGAUCAGACUUGGUGUUUUGUGAUUAUCUUCCCUUCUUGGGUUGUGCACUCGCAUUUCACUGGGCCAGCAUCGGUUCGGGUGGUAAGAUAAUGACAUUGGAACGUGGCACUGCCUUCGGGUGGUGUGUUAUAGCCCUUGUUGAUGUUGCCUACCUGGACCGAGGACUGCGGCUU
Molecule: ribosomal RNA, 1371 nt
Filed under: Williopsis saturnus
Lineage: Eukaryota; Fungi; Ascomycota; Saccharomycetes; Phaffomycetales; Wickerhamomycetaceae
Description: LSU rRNA
Rfam family: Eukaryotic large subunit ribosomal RNA (bases 772-1371)
Source: RNAcentral